Long non-coding RNA from Erigeron canadensis, 458 nucleotides. RefSeq lists it as uncharacterized. The record is from RefSeq and is a predicted model, not a curated record. Lineage: Eukaryota; Viridiplantae; Streptophyta; Magnoliopsida; Asterales; Asteraceae. The transcript is spliced from 3 exons.
ACCAUCACAUUUUGCUACACUCUCUUUUUCAUCCUCUAGAUUUAAUAAAACCCACUACUUGAAAAAUUUAAAAACAAUGAUAAAACAAUCAAAAAAACCUCUCGAUUAUUCUUCAAAUUAUGUAACCAUCUAAAUUACCACCGAGACAAUCUAAAAUCGAGCCUUCACAUCAAGGUUUUUUAAACCGAAAGAUUUCAUGUUUGUAGAUGAAAUAUAAAGCGAUUGGCAGGAGAGAAGGCAUAGAGUCAAGGACAUGAAGAAAUCGCAAGAAUCAGUGCCGUUUUUGCUUAUGUGACCGACAAAGAAGAGAAAAAGCUACUUGUUUGUAUGUAGAUGUAUAGAAGAUUUAGAAUGAGAUUUAGAUAAUUUCUUUUGUAAUGAUGUUAAGGAAUUCGUUUGUAAUGGUAUAUAAUGGUAGACAUUUAGCAUAAAUUAAUGAAUAUUUAGUUUGAUCUUAA